CGUGCGUCCCGGGCUGGCGGGGCGUGGCGUACGGCUCAGUAACACACGUGGUCAACCUACCCUGCGGACGGCUAUAACCCCGGGAAACUGGGGCUAAUGGCCGAUAGGGGAUGGGUGCUGGAAGGCCCCAUCUCCGAAAGGCCUAACCACCCAUGCUGUGGUUAGGCGCCGCAGGAUGGGACUGCGCCCUAUCAGGUAGACGGUGGGGUAACGGCCCACCGUGCCUAUAACGGGUGCGGGCCCUGGGAGGGGGAGCCCGGAGAUGGGCACUGAGACAAGGGCCCAGGCCCUACGGGGCGCAGCAGGCGCGAAACCUCCGCUAUGCGCGAAAGCGCGACGGGGUCACUCCGAGUGCCGCCUGCUGAGGGCGGCUUUUGCCCAGUCCAAAAGGCUGGGCGAAUAAGGGGAGGGCAAGUUUGGUGUCAGCCGCCGCGGUAAUACCAACUCCCCGAGUGGUCGGGACGAUUAUUGGGCUUAAAGCGUCCGUAGCCGGCCC
RNAcentral lists this ribosomal RNA (496 nucleotides) under uncultured prokaryote. RNAcentral describes it as "bacterial SSU rRNA". It matches the Rfam family "Archaeal small subunit ribosomal RNA", at positions 59 to 531 of the family's 1478-position model. The record is from RNAcentral.